This 1034-nucleotide ribosomal RNA is filed under the name metagenome. Its description in RNAcentral is "bacterial LSU rRNA". It matches the Rfam family "Bacterial large subunit ribosomal RNA", at positions 1405 to 2518 of the family's 2925-position model. The record is from RNAcentral.
AAAGGCGUAGCCGAUGCACAAACGGUUGAUAUUCCGUUACCGUCUACAAUUUAAACAAAGGGACACAUACAAAGCGUUUAACCCGGGCGAUGGUUGACCCGGGCGCAAGGGACUGAAAUUAGAGUAGGGAAGUAAAUGUGGCGUAUGGCGAGAAAAGCUUUGUGUAUAGAAGUAGACGCCCGUACCGCAAACCGACACAGGUGGACAGGAAGAGAAUUCUAAGGCCAGCGGGAGAAGGGUAGUUAAGGAACUCGGCAAAUUGACUCCGUAACUUCGGAAUAAGGAGUGCUCGAAAGAGCCGCAGAGAAUAGGCCCAGGCGACUGUUUAGCAAAAACACAGGUCUCUGCCAAAUCGAAAGAUGAAGUAUAGGGGCUGACACCUGCCCGGUGCCGGAAGGUUAAGAGGAGGAGUGCAAGCUCCGAAUUGAAGCCCCGGUAAACGGCGGCCGUAACUAUAACGGUCCUAAGGUAGCGAAAUUCCUUGUCGGGUAAGUUCCGACCCGCACGAAUGGUGUAACGAUCUGGGCACUGUCUCAACUACCCACCCGGCGAAAUUGUAGUACCGGUGAAGAUGCCGGUUACCUGCGGCAAGACGGAAAGACCCCAUGGAGCUUUACUGUAGCCUGAUAUUGGGUUUCGGAAAUCUAUGUACAGGAUAGGCGGGAGACUAGGAAGUAUGAGCGUCAGCUUAUACGGAGUCGUUGUUGGGAUACCGCCCUUAGGUUUCUGGAAUUCUAACCUGCGACCGUGAAUCCGGUCGGGGGACAUUGUCAGGUGGGCAGUUUGACUGGGGCGGUCGCCUCCGAAAAGGUAACGGAGGCGCUCAAAGGUUGGCUCAGCACGGACGGAAACCGUGCCUCUGAGUGUAAACGCAAAAGCCAGCCUAACUGCGAGGAUGACGGUCCGAGCAGUAACGAAAGUUGGAGUUAGUGAUCCGGCGGUAUGUGAAUGGAAAUGCCGUCGCUCAACGGAUAAAAGCUACCCUGGGGAUAACAGGCUGAUCUCCCCCAAGAGUCCACAUCGACGGGGAGGUU